RNAcentral lists this transfer RNA (75 nucleotides) under bacterium. Its description in RNAcentral is "tRNA-Glu". It matches the Rfam family "tRNA". Rfam says of the family: Transfer RNA (tRNA) molecules are approximately 80 nucleotides in length. The record is from RNAcentral. RNAcentral also lists the same sequence under 1 other name.
GGCCUCAUCGUCUAGUGGUUAGGACGCCAGGUUUUCAUCCUGGUAACAGGGGUUCGAUUCCCCUUGAGGCUACCA